GGCUGCCCAUAACACAGCAACAUUGUUCGUAUUUCAUAAAUUCAUAAAGGUACUCCUACAUACAGCAUUUCGCCCCUGUCAUUAUCGCAUCACAUCUAAUAAACUACUUCAUCUGAUACAUCGGCAUCAAGUAAUAUACUAACCAUGCACGUUACUAGUCACAGACGGUCUUCAAAUGUGGCGCCGAACCAAGUAAUAAAUCAAUGCUCUGAGGCCUUAUCGCUACUCGGUGGAUGUCGCUACGCGUAGGUGGUGCCGAUAUUGAUAUUACGCUAUGGAUGAUGUUACGAUUCGUAAUCGAGUUCGAAAUUUCGAUACAUCAAUUGAAAUGUGUACACCUUCAGGUAUCUUCAGGCACAGCUACUACAAAUGAAGUGAAGUUAUAACUGGAUCAGAAAAGUACAGUAGUAACUGGUGAUUAAAAUAAAGUGUCUAUUUUGAGUGUGUAAUAAAUUUUCGAACAUGAUUUUAUCAGGCCGUAUCCUUUCUGCUUUUAGCAGGUGUCAUAACUGAAAUGAUUUACAAACCUAAUAGGUGCCAACAAUAUAAAAAAGUAUUGCCAACUACAUAUAUAUCGCAUUGUCUCUGGCUUUAACAACACAUCUUUCUGACAUGCAAAGGCACAGAAAACUACAAGAGUAAUAAUUUUAAAUGUCAUGAAAGUAAUAACAAUAAAAACUAUUAAGGAAAAGUAUAUUUUAAACAGCCAUAAACUGCACAAAUUGAUGCCAAAACACAUUUAGAAGCAGAAAUGACUUUCUCUCAGGCUGACCCAGAUAUAUUUGGAAACCUUAAAUGCAAUAAAGAAACACCUAUUGAAGCCACUGAAGGAGAUGAAGAAGAUAAAGAAGAAGAAAUAUACUUAGAACAUGCUCCUACAGCAGCACAAAAACUGAGCACCAGACAGUAUGCAACUAUUAUCAAAGAUUUUAUCACCGUGAAGAAGGUAGCAGAUGCUACUGAUGUGCUUCAAACACGAAUGCUUAAACAGGAUCGUGUUAAACCAGAAAAUUUCAUCUACAAUCUUAUCAUUGGAGAGUGUGGUCGCUUAGGCUACACAAAAAAAGCAUUUCAGUUGUAUAAUCAGGCAUGGAGAAAAAUGUUAGAAAAAAGAGUACAUACAAUCUCUUGCUUCCAUCCAUAAGGACUGUGGCUUUGGGGAUAUUGAUGUUGCUCAGGAUGUUUUUCAUAGGAUCACUGAAGAAAACAGCAGCCAGGAAUAUAAGACACUGAAGAUUAAUUGUUGUGGGUGGUUGUUCUGGAUUCCUUGAACAAAUGAAUAAAGAUGGAGUGACAUCAUCCCAUCUACUAAAGCAGCAGAACACGCAACAGUUCGUAGGAGAUUCAAAGAUCCAAACUGCCCCUCGACAUUGUUGUCUUGGCUUUAGGCUGUCAAACUGAAGGGGAGGCUCAGUGUUUGAUGGAAGACAUGGGAAAUACAGGUUUCAGGUAUGAUAUCAGUAAGAAGAGAUCUAAUCAGAAAGUUCCAGUACUGUAUUUGCUUUAUGGAAGUGUGGAUGAUAUUAUGCAAGGGAAUGUGGUUGACAGCACUUGCUGACAUCAAAAUCCCUGGAGGGAAGGCAAUGCAUUAUUUUGUUUUUGAAAUGUAUGUGUAUUUAUGUUGCACUGCAGAAUGUAUUAUCAACAAGUGUGUAUCAAAUUCUAUAGAAUAUUAACAGCUGUACUUGUGAUAGAAGCCUUCAAUCAUUUGGAAAUAUUUAAAUUAGUUUUCUUAGAUUAUAGUGAUUAUAUUUGAAUACUAAAAUAUUUAGUUUCAUUUGCUGAUAUGCGUUCUGAUAAAUGAUGGAAUGGUUCAGGAUGAAUGUAGAAAUUUUGGGUGCGAUGCUGAGGCAGGGCUGUCAGUAUAAUUUUGAACAUAUAAUGGAGACGGCAAUAAGCGAGAAAGUCCGCCCAAAUGAAAAGUUCCUGGAAACAAAGAAUGUCUGCAGAAGAUAAGGAAGAAGGUAAAUCAUAUUAGUAAUAAAUGUUAGCACCAUGGUCUGCAGCCAGUAGCCUCCUCAUAUUUGACUUACAUCAGCAGACAGAAGGUCUCUGUCUGCAUUUCAAUUAAAGGAAAAUGAAAACACUUCAAAAUAAUGAUAAAAGAAUUUUUUUCUGACUGAGGAGAUGGAUAAUGCAUUUCAUGUAUGAAGUACACUGGUACCUGGCUGUUUUUGACAUUUAAUUAAAAACACUACAGUUGUAAAUAUAUUCCCUUUCAUAUCUGGAAUUUUUAUGUUUUGAGGUCAACAACUGCAGCAGAAUGUGGAAUAGCAGUGAUAGAAUGUAAGACUAGUACUUCCUUUGGAUGCUUUUGUAGAUGCAUAUAGACAAACUUAUUUUUAAAUCUAGUAACAUGAAAAUUUUCAUGGGGAAGAAAAAAUAAUAUUCCUCAUUACAAUAUCUACAUAAUAUUUACUGCCUUGAAAAAAAUUAAUAAUGAAGCCAGUAUGAGGGUUGAAACAGGAUUUUGGUUAAAGUAAGUCAAACGUGAAAAGUAUAUGAAAUUUUAAAGAUUUAUAUUUUCUGUGUAGUAGCUGUUUGCAAUAAUGUGUUAGAUAUUUUUUUAAUCUAAGUUAAGAAGAAGACAGUGACUAACAAUCCUAUGUUAACAGGAUACUGAACUGCCACAAAUGCGUAAAACUGCUGGUAGCUUUUGUACUCGACACACGUCAUGAUAGUUGAAAGAAAUUGUUCCUGAGAAAAUGGGCCAUCCUUGGGAGCAGUUUCAGAAAAAGCCACAAACUGACAAGAGUACAGAAAAAAAUAACAAUAAAAUCCAAAGGCAAAGCAGAAUAAGAAACAACUGAAUCUCUUUUCUUUGUGCUUACUAAAUAUACAUCAAUUCUGAAAAGUGAUAUACCGCAAUGGUAGUAACAUGCUGUCUAGAAAGUACUAUGCAAGUAUGAGAUUUAAAGGACAUUUUCUGAAGUGCAAUGUAUGGAUUAAAAACAUAAGUAAAAAUUAUAAAAUAAUUUUUUAGUACUAGGACAAACCACAUUUAUUUCAAACUAAAAUCGUAUUUACAUGCAUAACAUCGUGACCAGAAAUGAAGGAGAAAACUGUUUCAUUUCUAAUUAUCAACAAUAGCUGUCUUGAAUUGCCUUGAGUUGCCUUGUCUUGCCUUGCCUUGAAUUGCCUUGCCCUGCCCUGCCCAGCCCUGUUCUCCAUGACCUGUUAUGAACUGCCGAACUUUGCCCUGCCCCGCCUGAACCACCCUGCCCCGCCCUCCUCUGCUCUGACCCG
Non-coding RNA from Zootermopsis nevadensis, 3246 nucleotides. Lineage: Eukaryota; Metazoa; Arthropoda; Insecta; Blattodea; Termopsidae. The record is from RefSeq and is a predicted model, not a curated record.